This 116-nucleotide transfer RNA is filed under the name Nitrososphaerota archaeon. RNAcentral's name for it is "tRNA-Glu". The record is from RNAcentral. Lineage: Archaea; Thermoproteati; Nitrososphaerota.
GCUCCGGUGGUGUAGUCCGGCCAUCAUUUUGAUUCGCCUUGUGCGAAUCGGAAUUCACCGGAAAAGCAUAGUGGCCUCUCGAGUCACUGACCCGGGUUCAAAUCCCGGCCGGAGCA